ACUGGGAGCGUGGCGUCUCCUGUAACGUGGCUGCUCACGGGUCGGGUUACGGACUGAUUUGAGGUUGGGGUCCACUGUGUGCCGGGUAAGUCCAUGUUGACGGGACGUCCGCACUAAGCUGACCGUCAAUAUGGGUGCAAUGGGGGAGCCCGAUGCAUUCAGGUUGGCUAAAGAGAGAUGAACCGAGCGAGGGGUGAAAACCAGCAGCUAAAAGUCUCCGCGGUAAGCAGUAGUGGGAUCGCGUCCCGGAGUGGACUUCCGGUGCCAGCCUGACCAAUAUAGUCACACUGUAAUCUUU
This 298-nucleotide signal recognition particle RNA is filed under the name Aedes aegypti (yellow fever mosquito). RNAcentral describes it as "Metazoan signal recognition particle RNA". It matches the Rfam family "Metazoan signal recognition particle RNA". From Rfam's summary of the family: The signal recognition particle (SRP) is a universally conserved ribonucleoprotein. It is involved in the co-translational targeting of proteins to membranes. The record is from Rfam by way of RNAcentral. Lineage: Eukaryota; Metazoa; Arthropoda; Insecta; Diptera; Culicidae.